RNAcentral lists this ribosomal RNA (497 nucleotides) under uncultured bacterium. RNAcentral's name for it is "partial 16S ribosomal RNA". It matches the Rfam family "Bacterial small subunit ribosomal RNA", at positions 28 to 507 of the family's 1533-position model. The record is from RNAcentral.
GAUGAACGCUGGCGGCGUGCCUAAUACAUGCAAGUCGAGCGAACAGACGAGGAGCUUGCUCCUCUGACGUUAGCGGCGGACGGGUGAGUAACACGUGGAUAACCUACCUAUAAGACUGGGAUAACUUCGGGAAACCGGAGCUAAUACCGGAUAAUAUAUUGAACCGCAUGGUUCAAUAGUGAAAGACGGUUUUGCUGUCACGUAUAGAUGGAUCCGCGCCGCAUUAGCUGGUUGGUAAGGUAACGGCUUACCAAGGCGACGAUGCGUAGCCGACCUGAGAGGGUGAUCGGCCACACUGGAACUGAGACACGGUCCUGACUCCUACGGGAGGCAGCAGUAGGGAAUCUUCCGCAAUGGGCGAAAGCCUGACGGAGCAACGCCGCGUGAGUGAUGAAGGUCUUCGGAUCGUAAAACUCUGUUAUUAGUGAAGAACAAAUAUGUAAGUAACUAUGCACGUCUUGACGGUACCUAAUCAGAAAGCCACGGCUAACUACGUG